RNAcentral lists this ribosomal RNA (508 nucleotides) under uncultured bacterium. Its description in RNAcentral is "partial 16S ribosomal RNA". It matches the Rfam family "Bacterial small subunit ribosomal RNA", at positions 28 to 523 of the family's 1533-position model. The record is from RNAcentral.
GAUGAACGCUGGCGGCGUGGAUAAGGCAUGCAAGUCGAGCGAGAACCGGACCUUCGGGUCCGGGGAAAGCGGCGAACGGGUGAGUAACACGUGGGUAACCCACCCUUGGUACUGGGAUAGCCCGGGGAAACCCGGAUUAAUACCGGAUGGCCCAACAGCUCUUCGGGGCGGUUGGAAAAGGUAGCUUCGGCCUCCGACCAAGGACGGGCCCGCGGCGGAUUAGCUUGUUGGUGGGGUAACGGCCCACCAAGGCGACGAUCCGUAGCUGGUCUGAGAGGACGAGCAGCCACACUGGGACGGAGACACGGCCCAGACUCCUACGGGAGGCAGCAGUGGGGAAUCUUGCGCAAGGGGCGAAAGCCUGACGCAGCGACGCCGCGUGGGGGAAGAAGGCUUUCGGGUUGUAAACCCCUUUCAGGAAGGACGAAGCCACUCAGGUGAAUAGCCCAGAGGGUGACGGUACUUCCAGAAGAAGCCCCGGCUAACUACGUGCCAGCCGCCGCCGUAA